CAACUGCGUGAAUUAAUGUGAAUUGCAGGACACGUAGAACAUCGACAUCUUGAACGCAUAUUGCGGCCUCGGCUCGCCCGGGGCCACGCCUGGCUCAGGGUCGGAUAGAUUAGCAAUCGAGCAGAUCGUCCUCUGUCGGUUUAGUAGAGGACAGCUUUGUCUGCUUGCCUUGGAGCGUUGUAUGGGCUGAUUUUGGCUAGGACCGUGCAUGACUCUCAAAUUCGCUUUCUCAAACACUGCUCUAUCGAAUCGGUUCGGAAAACGGUUCGGCAGCGUGUGGUGGCUUGCUGGCAAAACCACUUGAAAACCCAUGCUGUCGGACGAUGGACAGUCGUUUCGAGAUGAGAUGAGAUAUGMUGAACGUGUGUCUCGUCUCUAACUAUCGACUUCGACCUGAGAUCAGGCGAGAUUACCCGCUGAAUUUAA
This 426-nucleotide small RNA is filed under the name Sternaspis cf. williamsae GK-2017. RNAcentral's name for it is "eukaryotic LSU rRNA". The stretch from base 1 to 103 matches the Rfam family "5.8S ribosomal RNA", at positions 50 to 154 of the family's 154-position model. Lineage: Eukaryota; Metazoa; Annelida; Polychaeta; Terebellida; Sternaspidae. The record is from RNAcentral.